RNAcentral lists this unclassified non-coding RNA (174 nucleotides) under Basidiomycota sp. RNAcentral's name for it is "partial contains small subunit ribosomal RNA, internal transcribed spacer 1, and 5.8S ribosomal RNA". The stretch from base 1 to 47 matches the Rfam family "Eukaryotic small subunit ribosomal RNA", at positions 1785 to 1831 of the family's 1831-position model. Lineage: Eukaryota; Fungi; Basidiomycota. The record is from RNAcentral.
AAAGUCGUAACAAGGUUUCCGUAGGUGAACCUGCGGAAGGAUCAUUAAAGGAGUCAAUUUUUUUAUUAGUGAAGUUUGUAAUUAAAUUUGUUGGGUAUCGACCAACAGGAGACGAUAUAAUUGAGAUUAUUUUGUAGAAUAAAACAACUUUUGGCAACGGAUCUCUAGGUUCUC